AGACAGAGACACAGCAGCUCAUUCCUGGUCGAUGGAACCUUUCCUCUGGUUCACCACUGCCCAAGCUCUCUCUCCUUCCUCGUCUGUUUUACUGCUCCUUUAAGUGAGAAACUCAGCAGAGGAGCUCUAGUCGGGGUGGUGCAGGGUCAAGCAAUGGAGAGAAGAGAUAUUGGUGAACAAAUUUAGGAAUGAUGGAAGUAAACUGGAGGAACAGAAAUGCUUCCAGCAUAGGUAACCCAAUGUCUUAAGGUAAGAAAGAGAGAAGAGGGAAGACAA
This 276-nucleotide long non-coding RNA is filed under the name Mustela putorius furo (domestic ferret). Its description in RNAcentral is "lncRNA (ENSMPUG00000024756.1)". Lineage: Eukaryota; Metazoa; Chordata; Mammalia; Carnivora; Mustelidae. The record is from RNAcentral.